CAGCAGCCACGGGAAUACGUAGGUGGCAAGCGUUGUCCGGAAUUAUUGGGCGUAAAGGGCUCGCAGGCGGUUUCUUAAGUCUGAUGUGAAAGCCCCCGGCUCAACCGGGGAGGGUCAUUGGAAACUGGGAAACUUGAGUGCAGAAGAGGAGAGUGGAAUUCCACGUGCAGCGGUGAAAUGCGUAGAGAUGUGGAGGAACACCAGUGGCGAAGGCGACUCUCUGGUCUGUAACUGACGCUGAGGAGCGAAAGCGUGGGGAGCGAACAGGAUUAGAUACCCGAGUAGUCCCUGUCUCUUAUAA
Molecule: ribosomal RNA, 301 nt
Filed under: uncultured bacterium
Lineage: Bacteria
Description: partial 16S ribosomal RNA
Rfam family: Bacterial small subunit ribosomal RNA
Source: RNAcentral